Molecule: unclassified non-coding RNA, 1203 nt
Filed under: Agrilus planipennis (emerald ash borer)
Lineage: Eukaryota; Metazoa; Arthropoda; Insecta; Coleoptera; Buprestidae
Description: growth arrest and DNA damage-inducible proteins- interacting protein 1, transcript variant X1
Source: RNAcentral
GCGCUCGACAUUUCAUACCCUGUUUAGGGUUAUGUACUUAUUUUUGUUCUUCCAUGUUAAUUUGAGUUUGUACUAUUUUACACAUUAAAAUAUGAAAUAUUUGGAUAUAAUUCGAAACACUUCGAUUUUAAACGUAUCUCAAAUAAUAUUUAAAAUUCUACCGCAAUAUUCUACAAAAAUUGACUUGGAAAAAUUAGAAUCAGAAAGUGCAACAUCUGUAGAUGUUCUUGAUGAAGAAGCAAAGAAGAAAGAAGCCAAUUUAGAACUUAAAAGAAAUAAAUCCCGUUUAAACCUACAACAUCGCAAUAUUCUUUUAAAUCAAAAACCUUAUAAUGAAAGCAUAUUUUGGACACAUGAUACGGUAAAGUAUGCAAGAAAAGUAUAUGGAAAGUAUGGCGAGAAUAGCAGAAUUGAUCCAUCUUUUUGUUGGCCUACUAAACAAGAACUACAAGAUACAUUGGAAUAUCAAAGAGUUGCUUAUCCUUUUACUGUUCUUGAAAUGAUGGAAAAAGCACAAAUAAGAAAAAAAGAAGAAAAUGAACGACUUUUAAAUAAGCAGAAAGAAAUUACGGAUAAAAUGGCUAAAUUGGAUCAGUGGAAGAAAGACCUACAUGAUAAAAUUAAGAAGAAAGAAGCUGAAGAACUUGCUGCAAGAGUGCAGAAAGAAAGAUUGAUAGAAGAAGUAAGAAGACACUUUGGAUAUGCAGUAGAUCCUAGAGAUGAAAAGUUUAAGGAAAUGGUUGAAAAAAAAGAAAAGGAACAAAAGAAAUUAAUGAAAGAAGCAAGACGAAAGGUGAAAGAAGAAAAAAUGCUUGCAAAAUUACUUAGCAAGAAAUCUGAAGAAAAGACAGAGACAAAUAAUGAAGAAAAACAAUUGAAUUAAGCUGAGCGAAAAUACUUUGUAUUUGUACUUUCAUUUUAGAAAAUAUUACUUUAUAUGUUACAUUUAAAAUACUUUGUUUAUACUGAAAGUGUUACAUAAAUCAAUAUCGAAUAUCCCACUAUAAUAGAAUGAAAAAUAUUUUUCAGUUAAAACAAUGUAACUAUAAAAAUCAGAUAUGUUUGAAAAGAAAUUCCAAAAUUUUCUAUUACAAUAACCAGGAGGGAUUAACUGGAAGUACUUUGUAUUCUUUUGAAUAAGUUACGAAAUUGUUAAUACAAGGUUUGUAAUUUAAAAUUGGGAAAAUAUAGAAGUUUACUGCA